GACGAACGCUGGCGGCGUGCUUAAUACAUGCAAGUCAACUGAACUUAGGAUAGCAAUAUUUUAAGGGAGGUGGCGCACGGGUGAGUAACACGUAGGUAAUCUGCCUUUAGGCCUGACAUAACCUACCGAAAGGUAGGCUAAAAUCAGAUGAUGCAGCGGCUCGACAUCGAGACAGUUGUUAAAUCUUCGGAGCCUAAAGAUGAGCCUGCGUCUGAUUAGGUAGUUGGCGGUGUAAUGGACCACCAAGCCUGCGAUCAGUAGCUGGUCUGAGAGGAUGAUCAGCCACACUGGAACUGAGACACGGUCCAGACUCCUACGGGAGGCAGCAGUAAGGGAAUAUUGCCUCAAUGGGCCGAAGGACUGAAGCAGCAACGACCGCGU
This 381-nucleotide ribosomal RNA is filed under the name uncultured bacterium. RNAcentral describes it as "bacterial SSU rRNA". It matches the Rfam family "Bacterial small subunit ribosomal RNA", at positions 28 to 402 of the family's 1533-position model. The record is from RNAcentral.